Molecule: ribosomal RNA, 497 nt
Filed under: uncultured bacterium
Lineage: Bacteria
Description: partial 16S ribosomal RNA
Rfam family: Bacterial small subunit ribosomal RNA
Source: RNAcentral
GACGAACGCUGGCGGCGUGCCUAAUACAUGCAAGUUGAGCGCUGAAGGUUGGUACUUGUACCAACUGGAUGAGCAGCGAACGGGUGAGUAACGCGUGGGGAAUCUGCCUUUGAGCGGGGGACAACAUUUGGAAACGAAUGCUAAUACCGCAUAAAAACUUUAAACACAAGUUUUAAGUUUGAAAGAUGCAAUUGCAUCACUCAAAGAUGAUCCCGCGUUGUAUUAGCUAGUUGGUGAGGUAAAGGCUCACCAAGGCGAUGAUACAUAGCCGACCUGAGAGGGUGAUCGGCCACAUUGGGACUGAGACACGGCCCAAACUCCUACGGGAGGCAGCAGUAGGGAAUCUUCGGCAAUGGACGAAAGUCUGACCGAGCAACGCCGCGUGAGUGAAGAAGGUUUUCGGAUCGUGAAACUCUGUUGGUAGAGAAGAACGUUGGUGAGAGUGGAAAGCUCAUCAAGUGACGGUAACUACCCAGAAAGGGACGGCUAACUACGUG